RNAcentral lists this long non-coding RNA (1038 nucleotides) under Canis lupus dingo (dingo). RNAcentral's name for it is "lncRNA (ENSCAFG00020008520.1)". The record is from RNAcentral. Lineage: Eukaryota; Metazoa; Chordata; Mammalia; Carnivora; Canidae.
AUGUUCCCCUGUCCCCAACCCCCGUCAGGUGCCCUGAGUGCUCACCCGUCCCAGGCUCCCUGCGGCCACCUCUCCCUUCGCUGGUCCGGGGCCGGGAACCUGGGGUCUCGUUACCUCCCGCAGCUGCCCCGUGCAGCCCCGUCCCAGCCUCGCCCGAGCCAGGCCCCACCUGUGGCUCCUGGCCUCCGAGCUGCCUGUGGGUCGCACUCAGCCCCGGAGCAGCCCGGCAUGCGGUGGGGGUCCUGUGCUGCUCACUGCCUGGUGGCUUGCCACGUGGGGUCCUUGGGCUUGGGGGCAGCACCUGGGACCCACCACAGCCUCGGGCGGCCCUUCCUGAAGCCCGGCGUUGGCGUCGGGGCACGUGGCUACGUGCACUUUGAGCCUAUAACCCCCAGCUGGGCCGUGCCUGGACCUGCCUGCGAUUUCCUCUUUGAGUCCGCAGGGAACCGGGACUCAGCUGGCCUGUCUGCUGUGGGAGGACGUGGCCUCACGGGCAGCCGGGCCCACGCUGCGCCCCGCGUUGGCCCAGCGAAGGCCCAGCAGUGGAGGGCGCUGCGUGGUGUCAGCGGCCUCCGUGUGUCUGAGUCAGAGGGCUCGGGUACCGGCUUGAAUCCCUCUCUGCCGCUUCUGGCCACGUGCCUCGAGCGACUUCACGCCUCCGACCUCAGUGUCUUCUGGAAAGGAGCUAAUAAUGCUGCCGGGGUGGUGAUGCUGGGGAAGCGUGCAGUGCCCGGCCCUUGGAAAGCUCCCGAAAUGGCGGCACAGUUGGUGGGCUGCUCCUUGAUCCUGGGGUGCUGUGGGGUCCGUAGGUGGGAGGUGACCUCUUCUGGGCAGACCCUGUGUCUGGCCGUCGCGGGGACGGGACUAGCACUCGCCCAGAGCGUCCCACAGCCAGGCUCCUACCCUGUGUCGACCGGCCCGAGUGCCUGUGCUCUCCCAGGCCGGCCCGCCUGUCCCCGGCACGUCCCCCACGCCCCGUGUCCAUCCAUCCGAGGGCGCUCAGGACCUGCUGCUGCUGAGCCAGGGCUGCGGGGCUGA